RNAcentral lists this ribosomal RNA (392 nucleotides) under uncultured bacterium. RNAcentral's name for it is "bacterial SSU rRNA". It matches the Rfam family "Bacterial small subunit ribosomal RNA", at positions 29 to 424 of the family's 1533-position model. The record is from RNAcentral.
AUUGAACGCUGGCGGAAUGCUUUACACAUGCAAGUCGAGCGGCAGCGCGGGGGCAACCCUGGCGGCGAGCGGCGAACGGGUGAGUAAUACAUCGGAACGUGUCCUGGAGUGGGGGAUAGCUCGGCGAAAGCCGGAUUAAUACCGCAUAAGCUCUGAGGAGGAAAGCGGGGGACCGUAACGGCCUCGCGCUGUUGGAGCGGCCGAUGUCGGAUUAGCUAGUUGGUGGGGUAAAGGCCCACCAAGGCGACGAUCCGUAGCUGGUCUGAGAGGAUGAUCAGCCACACUGGAACUGAGACACGGUCCAGACUCCUACGGGAGGCAGCAGUGGGGAAUUUUGGACAAUGGGGGCAACCCCGAUCCAGCCAUUCCGCGUGAGUGAAGAAGGCCUGGUU